UACGGAGGAUGCGAGCGUUAUCCGGAUUUAUUGGGUUUAAAGGGUGCGCAGGCGGCGUGUCAAGCAAGCGGUAAAAUAGCGGGGCUCAACCCCGUCGAGCCGUUUGAACUGGCGCGCUUGAGUUCAGGCGAGGUAGGCGGAAUGUAUGGUGUAGCGGUGAAAUGCUUAGAGAUCAUACAGAACACCGAUUGCGAAGGCAGCUUACCAAGCUACUUCUGACGUUGAGGCACGAAAGUGCGGGUAUCGAACAGG
This 252-nucleotide ribosomal RNA is filed under the name uncultured Bacteroidales bacterium. Its description in RNAcentral is "partial 16S ribosomal RNA". It matches the Rfam family "Bacterial small subunit ribosomal RNA", at positions 524 to 776 of the family's 1533-position model. Lineage: Bacteria; Pseudomonadati; Bacteroidota; Bacteroidia; Bacteroidales. The record is from RNAcentral.